RNAcentral lists this long non-coding RNA (884 nucleotides) under Pan troglodytes (chimpanzee). RNAcentral describes it as "lincRNA". Lineage: Eukaryota; Metazoa; Chordata; Mammalia; Primates; Hominidae. The record is from RNAcentral.
CUGGCAGGAGCAGAUUCCAAAGGCACAGGAAGAAGCUUGCAGUACAAAGAUAAAAAUCUAAAGUGGUUGCUGUGGAGGACAGGGGUCAGUGGUGGAAGUGAGACCGAAAUAGACUCUGAAGUAAUAUCUGGACUUUGAAAUUCUUGCCUGUUCACUCUGGCUGGUCAUAUGCAGAAAACCGAAACUAGACCCCUUUCUGACACCUUAUAUAAAAAUUAACUCAAGAUGCAUUAAAGAUUUAAACGUGAGACCUAAAACCAGAAAAAUCCUAGAAGAAAACCUAGGCAAUACCAUUGAGGACAUAAGCAUGGGCAAAGACUUUCAUGACUAAAACACCAAAAGGAAUGGCAACAAAAGCCAAAAUUGACAAAAGGUUUCCUUAACGACAACAAAAAAGGGAGUAAUCCUACCUACUGUAAGAGUCAUGACUCUUGAUUGCAGCUGACAGAAACUCAUGACAGCCUGGUUUAGAUAAAGGGGGAGAGAAGGACUGGAAGAAUCUUGGAGUUGGGAAUGUCGCACGCAGCUAUUCCCAACCCCAGAACCUUUGCUGUCUUGGAACAGAUCACCACUGCAAGAGGGGAAGUUGCUACUGUGAUGAAUUCUGCCAUGUGGUACCAGACUGCUACCCAGACCACAGUGUCCUCUGCAACCCUCGUAACUCACAUACAGGCCUGAUUCCACCUACAGCAAAGCUGGAUGCUAUGGUUGGCAGAGGCAAACCCUUUGCCUGCACUUCAGGCCAAAGCCGGGAUGUGGCCUAGAUGGUUCCUAAGGUCCCUGACAAUCCUGAGAUCUUGCAUCUUGUCUAUUUCAGGUCAAAGCUUCUCAGAUGACCAAGAUGGUGCUGCAGAUGGUGCUGAGGAUGGAGAACCCACCAAGCC